GGUUCCCACAGCUUUGGCCUGAAUGGAUCCUCCACUAGUACCGAACAACUCGAAGUCACCUUUAUUUAGACUUUUUAUUUCCGACAGACCCUGCAAUGAUUUGCAAAGGUGUAAGCCAUAGGCAGUAUCCAAUAUCCAAGAAUCUAAAAUUGAAAUACUUAAUGAUAAGUUUGUUUGUAUCAUAUACAAACCUUUAGCAACACUUGCUUCUUUAUGUUUCACAGUUGCAAGAUAUUCCUUGCAAUUCC
Molecule: long non-coding RNA, 248 nt
Filed under: Elaeis guineensis (African oil palm)
Lineage: Eukaryota; Viridiplantae; Streptophyta; Magnoliopsida; Arecales; Arecaceae
Description: long non-coding RNA (EGUI_LNC053335)
Source: RNAcentral